This 965-nucleotide long non-coding RNA is filed under the name Homo sapiens (human). Its description in RNAcentral is "HSALNT0366778". The record is from RNAcentral. Lineage: Eukaryota; Metazoa; Chordata; Mammalia; Primates; Hominidae.
AAUACAAUGACAUAGCUGUGGUUGAUGAACUAUAUUUUAUCUAUUGCAAUGAUAUUUUGAAAUGCAGUGCUACUCAUUGAGUUUCCUUGUGAGGAGAUUGUGUGGCGAGGACCCAGCAAGACAAGCUACUAUCCCAAAAAAGCUACUUAUAUGAACUUCAUUUCCGGUUUCUUUCAAAUUGAAGUUUCUCCAGCAUUUGGCUCUAGGUGCCAAGGGCACAUGUGACAAGAAGGUGCCAGCUUUAUAAACCUUGGAACUUCUUCUGUGUCAGUUCUGAGACAUACAGUUUACUAAAACACAUCAUGAAGGCCUGUUUUGAAGAGAAGGGGAAUAAGACUGCAUCUGUUCAUAUGAGAUGAUUAUACCAAGGCAGAGAGUAGUUGUCAAAUGAAGUCUCAGACCAUAUUUGAAGCAGAAAAUCUGCUUUCCUGUCUUGGCAGUCUGACUCCACAAUCUUCUGUUAGAAACAAUUAUACUGUAAAAAUGGAAAAGAAAUAAAAUCCAAGAUUGGAGACUGAUUUUAACAUCGAUUCCUCUUAAACCAUUAAGUAAUCAAAAAUAAAUUAAAUAGAGAAAAAUAAAACCAAAUAUUCAUAUAUGAAGAUCUAGACUCUUCAAUGGAAAACGUGUUUUUUAAGUAGCCCACAAUAGUUACACAAUUGCUGAGUAUUUUAACUAAAAAAUUAAUAUUUAACAAUUAAGUAAACUCAAGAGAAAAACUUAGUCAAAGGUCUCAGCAUGAGAGAUAAGUUUGAAAAAUAUUGAAAAUGGGUUGAAAAGCCCAAAUGGGAAAAUAGGGCUAUUUUUACCUGGAUGAUGUCCCUGAAAUUAAUUUUCCAUUUUGGAAAUUAUAGGACAACAAUUUCUUCUAUCCAUGAGUGAGUGAGUAUGUGUGUAUGGGUUUGAGUGUGUUUGUAUUAAUGAGCUUCUUAAGAAUAAGUUAUGGCCGGGCGCGGUGGCUCACG